AUCACGUCUCAGCCUUUUGGAUAAGAUGAAAUACAGUAUAUGUUCUCAUCAGUAUAACACAGGCUAUGUCCUCAAUCCAAGGACAAUAUAGUAAAUGGAGAUUUUGAGGAGAAUGGAAUAAUAGCUUGUUUGGUCUACUACAAACAGAUCUGAUAUUGUCGUAUCUCCAGAAGCAGUGCACUGCAU
Nannospalax galili (Upper Galilee mountains blind mole rat) is the source of this 186-nucleotide small nuclear RNA. Its record names the gene U2. It matches the Rfam family "U2 spliceosomal RNA". From Rfam's summary of the family: U2 is a small nuclear RNA (snRNA) component of the spliceosome (involved in pre-mRNA splicing). Complementary binding between U2 snRNA (in an area lying towards the 5' end but 3' to hairpin I) and the branchpoint sequence (BPS) of the intron results the bulging out of an unpaired adenosine, on the BPS, which initiates a nucleophilic attack at the intronic 5' splice site, thus starting the first of two transesterification reactions that mediate splicing. Lineage: Eukaryota; Metazoa; Chordata; Mammalia; Rodentia; Spalacidae. The record is from Ensembl.